Molecule: ribosomal RNA, 300 nt
Filed under: uncultured Sulfuricurvum sp.
Lineage: Bacteria; Pseudomonadati; Campylobacterota; Epsilonproteobacteria; Campylobacterales; Sulfurimonadaceae
Description: bacterial SSU rRNA
Rfam family: Bacterial small subunit ribosomal RNA
Source: RNAcentral
UGUAAUUUCGGGCGUGCAGUGGUGGGAAUACGUAGGAUGCGAGCGUUAUCCGGAUUUAGUGGGGUUAAAGGGUGCGUAGGUGGGCUUAUAAGUCAGUGGUGUAAUCGUAUCUCUUAACGAUAGACGUGCCAUUGCUACUGUAGGACUUGAGUACAGAUGCCGUUGGCGGAAUGUGUCAUGUAGCGGUGAAAUGCAUAGAUAUGACACAGAACACCGAUUGCGAAGGCAGCUGACGAAACUGUAACUGACGCUGAUGCACGAAAGCGUGGGGAUCAAACAGGAUUAGAUACCCUUGUAGUC